GCUCCAGGAAUCACUUUCUCUAGGUCUUAUUCUUAAAGGACUGAGACGAGCUUUCAUUAUCCAAGGAACUCUCACACAGAUGCGCACUGAUCUCACUUCUACUCAUACUGGCUCAAGCAAGAACAUGGAAACUGUCUUAUAACAGGCGAUGGAAAAACUGUGAUGGGGCCAAGCUCUGGCUAGCUAAUAACCCUUCAAGUACUUCUCCCUCUGUUCUGUCUGCAAUUUCAUCAAGCCGAACGGUGAUCUUCAAUAGCAAGCCAGAGCAUGAGGCAGGGGACUGACGCAGGGCUGGGCAUAUUGAGGAUGGUCACCAGAGUCCCGGCCAGGGGCAGGAGGUGUGAAUGGCGUCUGGCAUCUGCCAAAUAUAGCUCUGACAAACAGGAAGACUUGACUGAAAGAAGCUGGCGUGAGGAUAGAGAGAGAACUGACUGCACGAGGGCCAACUGCAUUUCAUUCAGAUGGCACGACACGCUCAUCAACUUGACUCCCCUUGUUAAAUGCCUGCAACACUGUUGCUUUAAUCUUCAAUUUUAACUUGUCCUUCUUAGAUUCCAGUUUCCUAAGAUACCCCUUCACACCCUUGGCCUUCACAGUGCAUCAUUCACUAAUCUUAUUGUCCCCAUCUGGUGAACUUGCCAUUCAUUCAUUCAUUCACUUUUGAAUGCACCUCUGAAUUAGGCACAAGGGAUUGAUAAAAACACAGACUCAUACUUUUCCUUUAUAUAAUGAGUUUAUGAUCAAAUUGUGAUCAAAUAUCCAGGAUAUUUUCUUAUGAAAAAUUAAAAAAAAAAAUAAAAC
This is a non-coding RNA of Microcebus murinus (gray mouse lemur), 801 nucleotides long. The record is from RefSeq and is a predicted model, not a curated record. NCBI's taxonomy places the organism in Eukaryota, Metazoa, Chordata, Mammalia, Primates, Cheirogaleidae.